AGAGUUUGAUCAUGGCUCAGAUUGAACGCUGGCGGCAUGCUUUACACAUGCAAGUCGAGCGGCAGCGCGGGGGCAACCCUGGCGGCGAGCGGCGAACGGGUGAGGAAUACAUCGGAACGUGCCCGAGAGUGGGGGAUAACGCCGCGAAAGCGGCGCUAAUACCGCAUAUUCUCUGAGGAGGAAAGUGGGGGACCGCAAGGCCUCACGCUCACGGAGCGGCCGAUGUCGGAUUAGCUAGUUGGUGGGGUAAAGGCUUACCAAGGCGACGAUCCGUAGCUGGUCUGAGAGGAUGAUCAGCCACACUGGGACUGAGACACGGCCCAGACUCCUACGGGAGGCAGCAGGUGGGAAUUUGGACAAGUGGGGCAACCCUGAUCCAGCCAUGCCGCGUGCGGGAAGAAGGCCUUCGGGUUGUAAGCCGCUUUUAACCGGGAAGAAAAGGCAUCUCUUAAUACGGGGUGUUCUUGACGGUACCGGUGGAAUAAGCACCGGCUAACUACGUG
This 503-nucleotide ribosomal RNA is filed under the name uncultured bacterium. Its description in RNAcentral is "bacterial SSU rRNA". It matches the Rfam family "Bacterial small subunit ribosomal RNA", at positions 8 to 507 of the family's 1533-position model. The record is from RNAcentral.